UACGGGGGGGGCGAGCGUUGUUCGGAAUCACUGGGCGUAAAGGGCGUGUAGGCGGUCAGGUAAGUGGGAUGUGAAAGCCCUCGGCUCACCCGAGGAUCUGCAUCUCAAACUGCCUGGCUUGAGUAUGGGAGAGGAUGAGGGAAUUCCUGGUGUAGCGGUGAAAUGCGUAGAUAUCAGGAGGAACACCGGUGGCGAAGGCGCUCAUCCGGCCCAAUACUGACGCUGAGGCGCGAAAGCUAGGGGAGCAAACGGG
RNAcentral lists this ribosomal RNA (253 nucleotides) under uncultured bacterium. RNAcentral's name for it is "partial 16S ribosomal RNA". It matches the Rfam family "Bacterial small subunit ribosomal RNA", at positions 524 to 776 of the family's 1533-position model. The record is from RNAcentral.